Molecule: ribosomal RNA, 468 nt
Filed under: uncultured bacterium
Lineage: Bacteria
Description: partial 16S ribosomal RNA
Rfam family: Bacterial small subunit ribosomal RNA
Source: RNAcentral
GACGAACGCUGGCGGCGUGCUUAACACAUGCAAGUUGAACGGAAAGGCCCUGCUUUUGUGGGGUGCUCGAGUGGCGAACGGGUGAGUAACACGUGAGUAACCUGCCCUUGACUUUGGGAUAACUUCAGGAAACUGGGGCUAAUACCGGAUAGGAGCUCCUGCUGCAUGGUGGGGGUUGGAAAGUUUCGGCGGUUGGGGAUGGACUCGCGGCUUAUCAGCUUGUUGGUGGGGUAGUGGCUUACCAAGGCUUUGACGGGUAGCCGGCCUGAGAGGGUGACCGGCCACAUUGGGACUGAGAUACGGCCCAGACUCCUACGGGAGGCAGCAGUGGGGAAUAUUGCACAAUGGGCGGAAGCCUGAUGCAGCAACGCCGCGUGCGGGAUGACGGCCUUCGGGUUGUAAACCGCUUUCGCCUGUGACGAAGCGUGAGCGACGGUAAUGGGUAAAGAAGCACCGGCUAACUACGUG